UUUUUAUUUCCAGGAUUGACUCUUUUUGUUUUUGCUCUCUGACUUGAUUUGUUUUUCAACAGGUCUACCCAAGUUCCAUUUCUAUUGAAGGAACAUUGGGAAAUUUCAGACUUCGUGAUAUGUCUCUUGGUGCAGAUCACUGUUGGGGUUGGCUUUGUGAUAUACGCAAUCCUGGGGUUGAAUCCCUUAUCAAGUUCAAAUUUGACUCUUAUAAUGCUGAAGAUGACGAUUAUGACGGAUAUGACUACAGCUUGUCUGGUCGGCUUUCAGGUGUUCGCAUUGUUUUCCUCUAUAGGUUUGUCCAGGAGAUAUCUGCUUACUUCAUGGAACUUGCUACCCCACAUUCUGAAGAAGUUAUAAAACUUGUUGAUAAAGUUGGAGGCUUUGAGUGGUUAAUUAAAAAAUAUGAGAUGGAUGGAGCUACUGCAUUGAAGCUGGACCUCUCGCUUGACACUCCUAUAAUUAUUGUUCCUAGGAAUUCAUUGAGCAAAGAUUUCAUUCAACUUGAUUUGGGCCACCUAAAGGUGACAAAUGAAAUAAAUUGGCAUGGAAGCUCAGAGAAGGAUCCUUCAGCUGUCCAUAUUGAUGUUCUUCAUGCUGAGAUUAUGGGGAUCAACAUGUCUGUAGGAAUCAAUGGUUCUGUCGGUAAACCAAUGAUACAGGAUGGGCAAGGACUUGAUAUUUUUGUUCGUCGGAGUUUGAGGGAUGUUUUCAGGAAAGUCCCAACAUUUUCUCUCGAAGUUAAGGUGGGUUCAUUGCAUGGUGUGAUGUCUGACAAAGAAUAUGAUGUUAUUUUAAAUUGUACAUUUAUGAAUUUAAAUGAAGCACCCAAUCUUCCUCCAAGUUUUCGUGGCAGCAAGUCUGAUUCCAAUGACACAAUGCGCUUGUUGGUCCAUAAGUUCAAUUUGAAUAGUCAGAUGCUACUGUCCCAUAGUGUUACCAUAAUAGCAGUUGAAGUUGACUAUGCCCUCUUGGAGCUGUGCACUGGCAUUAUUGAGGAGUCACCUUUAGCUCAUGUUGCUCUGGAAGGACUUUGGGUGUCAUAUCGGAUGACUUCAUCAUCUGAAAUAGAUCUCUAUGUUACAAUUCCUAAGUUUUCAAUCAUGGACAUUCGCCCUAGUACAAAACCUGAAAUGCGUCUGAUGCUUGGAUCAUCCACUGAUGCUUCCAAGCAACCUUCUAGCGGAAAAUCACCCCUUUUCUUAAAUGAGGGAAGUUUUAAGAGACCAAAUUCUGAAGUCGGCCUGGACAUAGAUGUACCUGUUUCGACAAUGUUCUUGAUGGACUACAGAUGGCGAGCAUCCUCUCAGUCAUAUGUGGUUUGGGUUCAGCAGCCUCGUGUCCUGGUUGUUCCAGAUUUCCUACUCGCUAUUGGUGAGUUUUUUGUGCCAGCUUUGGGAGCAAUAAUUGGAAGAGAUGAAACAAUGGAUCCUAAGAAUGACCCUAUAAGUAGAAACAAUAGCAUAGUACUCUCUGGACCUGUUUACACGCAGAGUGAAGAUGUGGUGCAUUUGUCUCCUGGUAGACAGUUAAUCGCUGAUGCUGUUGGUGUGGAUGAAUAUACAUAUGAUGGUUGUGGAAAGAUUAUCUGUUUAAGUGAAGAGAAACAUAUGAAGGAUUUCCAGUUAGCAAAAUAUUGACCAAUUAUAAUCAUUGGACGUGGCAAGAGAUUGCGGUUUGUAAAUGUCAAAAUUGAGAAUGGUUCCCUUAUAAGGAGGUAUACCUACUUGAGUAAUGAUAGCAGCUACUCGGUUGCAGUAGAAAAUGGUGUUGACAUCUUGGUUCUGGAUAAUGUGUCAUCUGAUGAUGACAAGAAGGAUCUGGAU
This is an RNA transcript of Pistacia vera, 1826 nucleotides long. It is a transcript of the gene named vacuolar protein sorting-associated protein 13-like, with no coding region annotated. NCBI's taxonomy places the organism in Eukaryota, Viridiplantae, Streptophyta, Magnoliopsida, Sapindales, Anacardiaceae. The record is from RefSeq and is a predicted model, not a curated record. The transcript has 8 exons.